AUGUCGUCGUCCGCGCUGAGGGCCGCGGGGCAGAGGGCGGGGGCGGCCGCCCGGAAGCAGGCGCUCACCCUGACGGAGGCCGCGGCGGCCAGGGUGCGCCACCUCCUCGACCUCAGGCAGCGGCCCUACCUGCGCCUUGGCGUCAAGGCGCGCGGCUGCAAUGGGCUGUCCUACACGCUGAAUUAUGCCGAAGAAAAAGGGAAGUUUGAUGAGCUUGUUGAAGAGAAGGGUGUGAAAGUACUGAUUGACCCCAAGGCCCUGAUGCAUGUGAUCGGCACCAAGAUGGACUUCGUUGAUGAUCCACUCAGGUCAGAGUUUGUGUUCAUAAACCCGAACUCGAAAGGGGAGUGUGGAUGCGGUGAAUCUUUCAUGACUACGGGCAGCAAAGGAUCUACGUCAUGA
Molecule: ribosomal RNA, 402 nt
Filed under: Triticum aestivum (bread wheat)
Lineage: Eukaryota; Viridiplantae; Streptophyta; Magnoliopsida; Poales; Poaceae
Description: partial small subunit ribosomal RNA
Source: RNAcentral